Molecule: transfer RNA, 85 nt
Filed under: Felis catus (domestic cat)
Lineage: Eukaryota; Metazoa; Chordata; Mammalia; Carnivora; Felidae
Also listed under: 1 other name
Rfam family: tRNA
About the family: Transfer RNA (tRNA) molecules are approximately 80 nucleotides in length. Their secondary structure includes four short double-helical elements and three loops (D, anti-codon, and T loops).
Source: Rfam by way of RNAcentral
GCCUGGGUGGCUCAGUUGGUUGAGCAUCUGGCUUUGGCUCAGGUCAUGAUCUCACAGUUUGUGGGUUUGAGCCCCGCAUCGGGCU